RNAcentral lists this ribosomal RNA (484 nucleotides) under uncultured bacterium. Its description in RNAcentral is "partial 16S ribosomal RNA". It matches the Rfam family "Bacterial small subunit ribosomal RNA", at positions 30 to 507 of the family's 1533-position model. The record is from RNAcentral.
AUUGAACGCUGGCGGCAGGCCUAACACAUGCAAGUCGAGCGGAUGAAGGGAGCUUGCUCCUGGAUUCAGCGGCGGACGGGUGAGUAAUGCCUAGGAAUCUGCCUGGUAGUGGGGGAUAACGUCCGGAAACGGGCGCUAAUACCGCAUACGUCCUGAGGGAGAAAGGGGGGGAUCUUCGGACCUCACGCUAUCAGAUGAGCCUAGGUCGGAUUAGCUAGUUGGUGGGGUAAAGGCCUACCAAGGCGACGAUCCGUAACUGGUCUGAGAGGAUGAUCAGUCACACUGGAACUGAGACACGGUCCAGACUCCUACGGGAGGCAGCAGUGGGGAAUAUUGGACAAUGGGCGAAAGCCUGAUCCAGCCAUGCCGCGUGUGUGAAGAAGGUCUUCGGAUUGUAAAGCACUUUAAGUUGGGAGGAAGGGCAGUAAGUUAAUACCUUGCUGUUUUGACGUUACCAACAGAAUAAGCACCGACUAACUUCGUG